RNA transcript from Zea mays, 1577 nucleotides. It is a transcript of the gene named Adenine phosphoribosyltransferase 2, with no coding region annotated. The record is from RefSeq and is marked validated. The transcript is spliced from 6 exons. Lineage: Eukaryota; Viridiplantae; Streptophyta; Magnoliopsida; Poales; Poaceae.
CUGUGUCUACGACUGUGCAAGUAUAGUGUCACACAUUGAGACACACUGAGAGAGAGAGAUGGUGUGCCUAUGCACGUAUAGUGUCUUACUAGUAGGCUCUAUAUAUGCGUGGUGUGGGCUGCCGUGCCGUACCAUCACUGCUCUCCUGCCCUCCUCUUUAUAAACAGCGCGCAACGAGGGAGCCCCGGCACUUGCUUCAAUACUAGCUCGCUCACCACUCACCAGUCACCAGUCUAGCAAGCAACAACAAAGGCGUAGGAGGAAGCUUGUUUUGGACCGAGCAAGCGAGCCAGCCGAGCGUGGGAGAGAGAGAAAGAGGAAUUAAUUGAUGGGCGAGGAGGCCAGCUGCGACGCCGUCAGCCUGACGGAGGCCGGCACCAACGCCAAGCCGGUGGGCAAGGAGGUCGGCCGCGAGCCGGCUGCAGCCCCCGCCGCCGCGGCCGACCCCCGGCUGCAGGGCAUUUCCGACGCCAUCCGCGUCGUGCCGCACUUCCCCAAGCAAGGCAUCAUGUUCAACGACAUCACCACGCUGCUGCUGCGCCCCAGGGUGUUCAAGGACGCCGUCGACCUGUUCGUCGAGCGGUACCGCGGGAUGGGCAUCGACGCCGUCGCCGGCUUUUCCGCCUCGUCCGGUACGUGGCCCCCCUUGGGACCGCGUGAUCGGACGGUUGCGUGCGGCCGGCGCACGGGAUCGGGCGGUCCGGGGACGCCGGCGGUACACACCCGUCGUCGGUUUCCGCGGGUGGCGCGCCCUGAUGUCACGCGGCUCCGCUGUCGCUGUCGCUGUAACUGUUUCCGAGAUUUUGCUCUGCGGCUCGCUGGAUCCUCUGUCCGCUUCCGUUCCGCGGGCCGUGUUCCCGAAUUUCCAUUUUUUUUAUUUUUCUUUACAAGCGGGACGUACAAAUCGAGCGAUUUGCGCUGGCUCUGAUAAAUUGUUGGGUUCACUUGGACAUUCCUGUCCAGGGAUUGAGGCCAGGGGCUUCGUGUUCGGCCCGGCGAUCGCGCUGGCUAUUGGCGCUAAGUUCAUACCUCUGCGCAAGCCAAGGAAGCUCCCAGGUGAGGUGAUCUCCGAGAAGUACGUUCUCGAGUACGGGACUGAUUGCCUGGAGAUGCGUGUCGGGGCCAUCGAGCGAUCCGGCGAGCGGGUGCUGGUCAUCGACGACCUGGUUGCGACCGGAGGGACACUCUGUGCUGCGAUCAGGCUUCUAGAACGUGCUGGAGCCGAUGUGGUCGAGUGCGCGUGUGUCAUUGGGCUCCCGAAAUUCAAGGAUUUGUACAAGUUGAAUGGAAAACCUGUAUACGUGCUGGUUGAGUCUCGUGAAUAAUCGGAGAAAUGACAACUUAUUCUCAGGUGUCAGAGUGAUCAGGGAUAUUGGCUGUUUACUCCUUGCUACUGCGAUUGAACAGUGGAGGGACGACAUGGACAAGGACAAGUAUAUUCGGUGCAUCACUAAGUCUUGGUGAGGGGAGAGAUUGUAGUGUUUUAGGCUGAGUAGUGAAGAGCCUGUAGUUCUGCACGGAACAUGAUGGUUAUUAGUUGAUGCAACAGCGUUGCUGUUCUAUUAUUGUUUGUUGAA